This 253-nucleotide ribosomal RNA is filed under the name uncultured bacterium. Its description in RNAcentral is "partial 16S ribosomal RNA". It matches the Rfam family "Bacterial small subunit ribosomal RNA", at positions 524 to 776 of the family's 1533-position model. The record is from RNAcentral.
UACGGGGGGGGUAAGCGUUGUUCGGAAUUACUGGGCGUAAAGCGCGCGUAGGCGGACCUGCAAGUCGGGGGUGAAAGCCCGAGGCUCAACCUCGGAACUGCCUUCGAUACUGCGGGUCUCGAGUCCGGGAGAGGUGAGUGGAAUUCCUAGUGUAGAGGUGAAAUUCGUAGAUAUUAGGAAGAACACCAGUGGCGAAGGUGGCUCACUGGCCCGGUACUGACGCUGAGGCGCGAAAGCGUGGGGAGCAAACAGG